RNAcentral lists this ribosomal RNA (446 nucleotides) under uncultured bacterium. RNAcentral describes it as "partial 16S ribosomal RNA". It matches the Rfam family "Bacterial small subunit ribosomal RNA", at positions 338 to 795 of the family's 1533-position model. The record is from RNAcentral.
CCUACGGGGCGCAGCAGUCGAGAAUCAUUCACAAUGGGGGAAACCCUGAUGGUGCGACGCCGCGUGGGGGAAUGAAGGUCUUCGGAUUGUAAACCCCUGUCAUGUGGGAGCAAAUUAAAAAGAUAGUACCACAAGAGGAAGAGACGGCUAACUCUGUGCCAGCAGCCGCGGUAAUACAGAGGUCUCAAGCGUUGUUCGGAAUCACUGGGCGUAAAGCGUGCGUAGGCUGUUUCGUAAGUCGUGUGUGAAAGGCGCGGGCUCAACCCGCGGACGGCACAUGAUACUGCGAGACUAGAGUAAGGGAGGGGGAACCGGAAUGCUCGGUGUAGCAGUGAAAUGCGUAGAUAUCGAGAGGAACACUCGUGGCGAAGGCGGGUUCCUGGACAUUAACUGACGCUGAGGCACGAAGGCCAGGGGAGCGAAAGGGAUUAGAUACCCGAGUAGUC